CAUGCAAGUCGAACGGAAAGGCCCUUCGGGGUACUCGAGUGGCGAACGGGUGAGUAACACGUGGGUGAUCUGCCCUGCACUUUGGGAUAAGCCUGGGAAACUGGGUCUAAUACCGAAUAGGACUCCGGACUGCAUGGUCUGGGGUGGAAAGCUUUUGCGGUGUGGGAUGGGCCCGCGGCCUAUCAGCUUGUUGGUGGGUGAUGGCCUACCAAGGCGACGACGGGUAGCCGGCCUGAGAGGGUGACCGGCCACACUGGGACUGAGAUACGGCCCAGACUCCUACGGGAGGCAGCAGUGGGGAAUAUUGCACAAUGGGCGCAAGCCUGAUGCAGCGACGCCGCGUGGGGGAUGACGGCCUUCGGGUUGUAAACCUCUUUCAGCACAGACGAAGCGUAAGUGACGGUAUGUGCAGAAGAAGCACCGGCCAACUACGUGCCAGCAGCCGCGGUAAUACGUAGGGUGCGAGCGUUGUCCGGAAUUACUGGGCGUAAAGAGCUCGUAGGUGGUUUGUCGCGUUGUUCGUGAAAACUCACA
This 534-nucleotide ribosomal RNA is filed under the name uncultured Mycobacterium sp. RNAcentral describes it as "bacterial SSU rRNA". It matches the Rfam family "Bacterial small subunit ribosomal RNA", at positions 54 to 606 of the family's 1533-position model. The record is from RNAcentral. Lineage: Bacteria; Bacillati; Actinomycetota; Actinomycetes; Mycobacteriales; Mycobacteriaceae.